Molecule: ribosomal RNA, 1446 nt
Filed under: Curtobacterium citreum
Lineage: Bacteria; Bacillati; Actinomycetota; Actinomycetes; Micrococcales; Microbacteriaceae
Description: bacterial SSU rRNA
Rfam family: Bacterial small subunit ribosomal RNA
Source: RNAcentral
GACNUNAUACCAUGCAGUCGACGAUGAUGCCCAGCUUGCUGGGUGGAUUAGUGGCGAACGGGUGAGUAACACGUGAGUAACCUGCCCCUGACUCUGGGAUAAGCGUUGGAAACGACGUCUAAUACUGGAUAUGACUGCUGGCCGCAUGGUCUGGUGGUGGAAAGAUUUUUUGGUUGGGGAUGGACUCGCGGCCUAUCAGCUUGUUGGUGAGGUAAUGNNGCUCANCCCAAGGGCGACGACGGGUAGCCGGCCUGAGAGNGNGNUUGACCGGCCACACUGGGACUGAGNACACGGCCCAGACUCCUACGGGAGGCAGCAGUGGGGAAUAUUGCACAAUGGGCGAAAAGCCUGAUGCAGCAACGCCGCGUGAGGGAUGACGGCCUUCGGGUUGUAAACCUCUUUUAGUAGGGAAGAAGCGUAAGUGACGGUACCUGCAGAAAAAGCACCGGGCUAACUACGUGCCAGCAGCCGCGGUAAUACGUAGGGUGCAAGCGUUGUCCGGGAAUUAUUGGGCGUAAAGAGCUCGUAGGCGGUUUGUCGCGUCUGCUGUGAAAUCCCGAGGCUCAACCUCGGGCUUGCAGUGGGUACGGGCAGACUAGAGUGCGGUAGGGGAGAUUGGAAUUCCUGGUGUAGCGGUGGAAUGCGCAGAUAUCAGGAGGAACACCGAUGGCGAAGGCAGAUCUCUGGGCCGUAACUGACGCUGAGGAGCGAAAGCGUGGGGAGCGAACAGGAUUAGAUACCCUGGUAGUCCACGCCGUAAACGUUGGGCGCUAGAUGUAGGGACCUUUCCACGGUUUCUGUGUCGUAGCUAACGCAUUAAGCGCCCCGCCUGGGGAGUACGGCCGCAAGGCUAAAACUCAAAGGAAUUGACGGGGGCCCGCACAAGCGGCGGAGCAUGCGGAUUAAUUCGAUGCAACGCGAAGAACCUUACCAAGGCUUGACAUACACCGGAAACGGCCAGAGAUGGUUGCCCCCUUGUGGUCCGGUGUACAGGUGGUGCAUGGUUGUCGUCAGCCUCGUGUCGUGAAGAUGUUGGGUUAAGUCCCCGCAACGAGCGCAACCCUCGUUCUAUGUUGCCAGCGCGUUAUGGCCGGGACNUCAUAGGAAAACUGCCGGGGUCAACUCGGAGGAAGGUGGGGAUGACGUCAAAUCAUCAUGCCCCUUAUGUCNUUGGGCUUCACGCAUGCNUACAAUGGCCGGUACAAAGGNNGNCUUGCGCNAANNUNACCGGUANACGNNGUGGAGCGAAUCCCAAAAAGCCGGUCUCAGUUCGGAUUGAGGUCUGCAACUCGACCUCAUGAAGUCGGAGUCGCUAGUAAUCGCAGAUCAGCAACGCUGCGGUGAAUACGUUCCCGGGCCUUGUACACACCGCCCGUCAAGUCAUGAAAGUCGGUAACACCCGAAGCCGGUGGCCUAACCCUUGUGGAAGGAGCCGUCGAAUAUGNU